UGAUUUAUUACAAUUUUUAGUUUGGAUUCUCUGAACUGUUAUAAUUAAGUAUUAAUGUAUCUCUAAUGUAAAAAUGAUGUAUCAAUGAUGUAAUCGAUGAUGCGAUACUAAUUAAGAUGACACGUUUAUUUUCAUAUCAACGACAUAUCAAUAUUUAGUUAGCUAAAUUAAAUUAUAGAACUUAAUUGUAAUAAUACUUUAUAAAGUUUGAGAAAAAAAUUGUAAAAAAAAGUUUGAGGACUAAAGUG
Molecule: long non-coding RNA, 248 nt
Filed under: Ananas comosus (pineapple)
Lineage: Eukaryota; Viridiplantae; Streptophyta; Magnoliopsida; Poales; Bromeliaceae
Description: long non-coding RNA (ACOM_LNC030054)
Source: RNAcentral